Molecule: long non-coding RNA, 285 nt
Filed under: Rosa chinensis
Lineage: Eukaryota; Viridiplantae; Streptophyta; Magnoliopsida; Rosales; Rosaceae
Description: sRNA RchiOBHm_Chr1g0357881
Source: RNAcentral
CAUGGGAUGCCUAUAUAAGACCAGGAGGAAGCUGGAUACCAGGACACUGGGUGCAACCUCCACCUCCUGCAGAUGAUAUCUGGGCCUCCUACCUUCUGCAACCUAAAUGAUUGGACUGCUGAUUCAGGCAAAUUUUGCUGAAAAAAUGGUGAAAGUUUGCCUACUGAGACUACUUAAAUAGCAGACACUCGACUUGGUUUUCUGUUUUUGGUCUGUUAGGAGUAGCUUGUAUAGUUUUUACUGGAUUGUUAACAGACAUAUCACCAUCUACUAACAGGUGACUCU